This 274-nucleotide ribosomal RNA is filed under the name uncultured bacterium. RNAcentral's name for it is "partial 16S ribosomal RNA". It matches the Rfam family "Bacterial small subunit ribosomal RNA", at positions 523 to 796 of the family's 1533-position model. The record is from RNAcentral.
AUACGGAGGGGGUUAGCGUUGUUCGGAAUUACUGGGCGUAAAGCGCACGUAGGCGGACUGGAAAGUUGGGGGUGAAAUCCCGGGGCUCAACCCCGGAACUGCCUCCAAAACUUCCAAUCUAGAGAUCGAAAGAGGUGAGUGGAAUUCCAAGUGUAGAGGUGAAAUUCGUAGAUAUUUGGAGGACCACCAGUGGCGAAGGCGGCUCACUGGCUCGAUACUGACGCUGAGGUGCGAAAGCGUGGGGAGCAAACAGGAUUAGAAACCCUAGUAGUCC